RNAcentral lists this long non-coding RNA (739 nucleotides) under Equus caballus (horse). RNAcentral describes it as "lncRNA (ENSECAG00000049589.1)". The record is from RNAcentral. Lineage: Eukaryota; Metazoa; Chordata; Mammalia; Perissodactyla; Equidae.
CAUCGGUUCAAUUUUGCUACUAGAAGCCCAGAUAGACUUCCCAGCACUCCUCCUGCUCCGCCUGUGACAGGCACACUGCCUCCCUGGGGCAGCCUGACUGACAACGUGAUGUAAUCCUCUGCCUUCGACUUUGGGUCGGAGGAGCUCCCACCCUCCCCUCUCUCCAAACUGAUCUCCAAGUCUGCUGGGUGUCAUCCCUGGCCAGUGUGUCUGGUGGCCGACAUACCGCUGCAUGUGUGUUCCCACCCUCCUCGGAGCUACAUCCAGCAGACUCUCAUGGACCCUAUAGGGAGCACACCCACCCAACUUCUGGGGCUGCCUUGCUUAACUCGACCCCUGCAUCUCAGUUUCACAUGAGGACAAAGGAAAGCUAAGCCGUGCUCUGUUCCAGCCUUGUCCAAGUCACGUCUAAGUCAUUCUGUUAUUGUUUUUCUCUCCAGUCUCAUAAAUAAGGCCUCGCUAAUGGCAGGGAGGGAAUCCAGAGGGCAGGAACAGCAUUACAUCAUCACAUUACCUACGCUGAUGCAUUUCCAAGGCCAACAAACUCAAUUAGCUCAUUGAUAAUAGCUGUACCAGCAGUGGGACUCCUGCAGCCAAGUCUAUUGUUCCGAGGAAGGACCGGAAAACAAAUGACAGUGCAGUCCGCCAUGCAGAGCCACCGGCAAACUAACCCAAAGUUGCAGCUCCAUACCACGUGAGGUUCACUUUAAAUAAUUUUGAGCUGCUGCUUAUGUUGAGU